UCGAAUAACCAUAUGCUCAGU
Molecule: non-coding RNA, 21 nt
Filed under: Caenorhabditis elegans
Lineage: Eukaryota; Metazoa; Nematoda; Chromadorea; Rhabditida; Rhabditidae
Source: RNAcentral